Molecule: unclassified non-coding RNA, 643 nt
Filed under: Hevea brasiliensis (rubber tree)
Lineage: Eukaryota; Viridiplantae; Streptophyta; Magnoliopsida; Malpighiales; Euphorbiaceae
Source: RNAcentral
GCAUGAUGAUUGAUUGAUUAUUUAACUACGUUGGAUAGCAAUGAAUUUUCAUUUAACAUAAUUAAGUUAUUGGAGAUGGUGAGUUUGAUGAUUUAUGGUUUUGACAACUAUUGUAACACUCCCUUACCCGAUAUACAGUGUAGCCGAGCAAAGGAAUGUCACAUCCUGUGCCAAAGUACUUAAUCUUAUCCUAUUUAAUUGAUGAUCAAUUUAAUUUCAUCAUAAUUUGGUCAAGAAAAUUUUUCAAUGGAAAAUUGCAAGAGUUUUCCCAUAUUUUUAACAUUUCACUUGUUAAAGAAUUGACCAGUUACGAUUAUCCAUAUUGGAAAAUCUUAAAUUCAUAACAAGUUUAAAAUCAUAACUCAUAUUUCUUUAUCUAUUCACAUCCAUUUCUAUAUAUAAAUUUCCUUCAUUUACAAAAUGUACACAUUUAUUAUACUUCCCAAAAUUUAAUGACAUCUUUGUGUUUAAUUACAAUGCACAUGGUCAUGCACUACUGUGAGCCAGUGAUAUCUACCAGAAUGUUAUGCGGAGGUGACAAUGACCACUACUGCAGAUCAGUCCAAAAUCUCUGUCCAAGUCUACUAGGUCUUAUAGCCUGGACCUGCGCAAGGAAAAACUAUCGCGCUAAGCAUUUCUGCUU